This 490-nucleotide ribosomal RNA is filed under the name uncultured bacterium. RNAcentral describes it as "partial 16S ribosomal RNA". It matches the Rfam family "Bacterial small subunit ribosomal RNA", at positions 29 to 507 of the family's 1533-position model. The record is from RNAcentral.
AGUGAACGCUGGCGGUAGGCCUAACACAUGCAAGUCGAACGGCAGCACAGGAGAGCUUGCUCUCUAGGUGGCGAGUGGCGGACGGGUGAGGAAUACAUCGGAAUCUGCCCAGUCGUGGGGGAUAACGUAGGGAAACUUACGCUAAUACCGCAUACGACCUUCGGGUGAAAGAGGGGGAUCGCAAGACCUCUCGCGAUUGGAUGAGCCGAUGUCGGAUUAGCUAGUUAGCGGGGUAAUGGCCCACCAAGGCGACGAUCCGUAGCUGGUCUGAGAGGAUGAUCAGCCACACUGGAACUGAGACACGGUCCAGACUCCUACGGGAGGCAGCAGUGGGGAAUAUUGGACAGUGGGCGCAAGCCUGAUCCAGCCAUACCGCGUGGGUGAAGAAGGCCUUCGGGUUGUAAAGCCCUUUUGUUGGGAAAGAAAUCUUUCAGGCUAAUACCCUGGGAGGAUGACGGUACCCAAAGAAUAAGCACCGGCUAACUUCGUG